UAGGAAUUCCUAUCUCAACCUGGACGCAUAGCUGGAGAUGGAGAAAGGGAUAUUCAGUCUUCUCCAUGCAAGGUCCCCUUGGAUUGAGAACCAUUGGGGAUUGGCCGCUUACUCUGAAUAAGUAGCGGAUAUGAGAAUAGCUGAUAUCCUGUGAGGAGGCUGGUUUGUAGCCAUGUGGGCCCCUGUUCUGCAGACUACAUUUUAAAAUUGACUGUAUUUCUACAUGCAUCUUUGUAAGUAUUUGCAUUUAAAUGUAAAUAUAAAUUGUACUCUUCUACAUAGAGAGUUUCUCUUUCUUUCUUUUUCUUUCUUUUUCUCUCUCUAAAUAUAUAUGUAUUUCUCUCUUUUUAAAAUAGAUUUUCAGUAUGAAUCGACUAUCAGUGAAGUUCUUCUGUAGUGGUUAAUUCAUUCUUAAUAGAAAGUGGUAUUUUUCUGAAGAAAAAGGAACAAUACAUCUUUAGAAUAGGUUUGAGCUUGGAUCUGAGGAGAAAUAGAGGAGGAUGGCUAAAGUGUUUUUCAUUUCCUUUCUGCGGUUGAUCGCACAGUCACUUUACACUGUAUUUUAAAGUACACCAUGUAUGUUGGAACCUGGGACCUGUUGGACACCAGCUGCUUGCAACAGAUGGAAUAUCUGACAAAAACUCAAAUUCUCGAUUUUUUUUUGCUCCCCGCUCUCUGGCAAGUCAGUUGCAGCCUACCUCGACAUGGCAGUUUGGAUCCGAAUGGCAAUUUGGUCAAUACUACAGAGAUGAAGGCACGGGCAAGGAAGCUCAUCCAUCAUCUUAACACUCUUCAUGAUGAACCAAGCAAAGGAAUAUGGCAGACAGAAGAAGUGAGGACCACUUGGAAAGCUCCAUGGCACUUAGAAGUGGUGCUUCUGCAUAAACUCCAGUGA
This 895-nucleotide long non-coding RNA is filed under the name Struthio camelus australis. RNAcentral describes it as "lncRNA (ENSSCUG00000013248.1)". Lineage: Eukaryota; Metazoa; Chordata; Aves; Struthioniformes; Struthionidae. The record is from RNAcentral.